Long non-coding RNA from Anser brachyrhynchus (Pink-footed goose), 1375 nucleotides. The record is from Ensembl. NCBI's taxonomy places the organism in Eukaryota, Metazoa, Chordata, Aves, Anseriformes, Anatidae.
CCUGGACUAAAAAUUGUUUUCAUUAUUUUAAUAGAAGCUAAAAUUUUUAUAGCUGUCUCAUUUCAGAAUUCAUGGCUUUAAAGUAAAAAGCUUCAUCUAUUUUAAAACUUGCAGGCCUACAUGUGCAGAGAGACACAUCAGUCUAUCUUAGAUGUUUUCUGAUAUUAAUUUUAUUCUCAAUGACUGUCAGCCACGGAUCCUUCACCAACACAGAAUGUGUCAAAAGCUUUUACAGAAGUAAACUAACAAGCAGAGGAUAAAUAAUCGACCGUUUUAGGUGAUAAUCCUGCAGUGAGCUCUGUGUGACCAGACAUUUUGCCCAGCAGAAAGAAUAUGUUUACUUCAAGAGGAACCCAUUUGGGUGUUCCCUUCGGUACCAGGUUGGCAUGAUCUGGAAUCUUCUAUGUGAAUUCAGUUACUACAAAAGAGAGGUGACGCCAAGGACUCUACAAUCUCAGUGCCUGAAAGUGGGUGGGAUUAGUAUUACUGCCUUGAAUGGAUGUUACUGCUGAAACCAUUACAAGUCUGAAAAGCUUUCUUUCCUGUAGCCAGCUGGAAAGGUGGCAUACUGCUGAGAAGAGAACCUGGAGAGAUACAUGAAAUAGAUUCUGAGUGCUUGAGGUAGAGGAAGCCAGUUGGAGAAAGAAGGAUACCUAUUGUUAAGUAGCUGCAGUUAAAUGGCUCCAUACCAGGCUCUUAUAGCAUCUUCAGAAAAUUAAUGGUGCUUCUGUGUAUUCUGAAAGUUAUUAAAUAAUAAUUCUAAAUUGUUAGUGCAAUUGUGACCAUGUUAAAAAGAAGUUAUUUUAUUGAGAUUUGAUUAAAAAAAAAAAGUUUUAUUAAUGCUCUGUGAAUAACAGCCUCAAGUGAUUUAUCUCACUUUAAUAGUGCAGCAGCAUACAGAUCUGCAAUGUGUACUCUCAUUAUUAAAGAGUCUUAGUGCAAAUAUUUAAAUAUCUAGUGAUUGGAAGACUUGACAUUUAUUGGAAUGUAGAUAUGGGAAGGGUUUAAUAAUGCUUUUAAUAUAACUUGACAGGACAAAAAAAAAAGUGCAUUAAUUCCAUUAUCAGAAUGCCUUAAAAGAAAAUUACAAAGUGGUGGAACUUGCAUUUGUACUUUCUUUCCACCUUCUGUGUCUGAACUGAACUGUGCUGUGAUUAGAAUAUGCUCAAGUAUUUGGAACAAAAAAAAAAAAGUAUGAUGAAUCUUAAAAUGCAAUUUUCCCCUCAUCAAAGUAGAGAAAACCCAUAUAACUUCAUUUAGAUAGUAAUUAUUUCUCGAAAUAUUCAUGAUCUGUAUUUAGAAACAGAUUUAGCGUUAAAUGCCCCAAAUUGAUAGGUGGAAAGGUAAAAAAGAAAAAAAGACUCUUUGAUCUGGG